Molecule: long non-coding RNA, 163 nt
Organism: Perognathus longimembris pacificus (Pacific pocket mouse)
Lineage: Eukaryota; Metazoa; Chordata; Mammalia; Rodentia; Heteromyidae
Exons: 3
Source: RefSeq, a predicted model, not a curated record
GAAAUAAAGAGUCUCACAGACUUCCUCGGCCAACUGGCUUUGAACCGUGAUCCUCAGAUCUGUUUCCUUAGUAGCUAACAAGGAUGAGGCACCAGUGCCUGACUCUCCACCUACUUCUAAUGGGAGGCUUGAACUGUCUUUUAUGAUUUUCCUGUCAUCAUUC